GUUUUCCAACUGGGCGGAUUGCAAAACGAGGUAAGAAUUUGGGCUGUAAGGAAUGAGGGUGAGGAUUGAGGUGAUAAAAUAAUGCUACUGAUAAGACUCUAGUGGUUCACAGUUACAGAGUUUUCAAGGCUGAGAGAUCUUGAAAGAGUGCUAUAAUUUAUAAAUUGUAAAUGUGUUUAUAAUUUGUUUAAGAAUAAGCAGAUAUGGAAAUUCUUGUUCUCACAGGCAAUGAAAGGGAACUAUUAAGAGAAAGAGGUAAGAGAAUGGAAACAGGUAAAAUUUAUGACUGACAAUGGAAUGAUUAAUUUCACUGGGAAAAAUACAUACUGUAAAGUGUUACACAGAUGCAGCAUAUUAUUAUUGUGAAAUAAAGUAUAAAACUUAUCAUGGAAGCUCACAGGAGGGAAAACAUUAAAAGGAAGUAAAAGAUAUUUACCAAUUUAAAAAAGUGAACAAUUCCAGAUAAAAAUUUAGGAGAACAUUCAAAUAAAAUAUCUUACAUUAGAUGCCGUAUAGAAAGAAAAAUGUGUG
This 531-nucleotide long non-coding RNA is filed under the name Bos taurus (domestic cattle). Its description in RNAcentral is "long non-coding RNA NONBTAT021502". The record is from RNAcentral. Lineage: Eukaryota; Metazoa; Chordata; Mammalia; Artiodactyla; Bovidae.